CCCUUAGAUGUUCUGGGCCGCACGCGCGCUACACUGAUGCAUUCAACGAGUCUAAAACCUGCUCUGAUAGGGGUGGGUAAUCUUUUGAAUGUGCAUCGUGAUUGGGAUAGAUGAUUGCAAUUUUUCAUCUUCAACGAGGAAUGCCUAGUAAACGCAAGUCAUCAGCUUGCAUUGAUUACGUCCCUGCCCUUUGUACACACCGCCCGUCGCUCCUACCGAUUGAAUGAUCCGAUGAAUAUCAUGGAUUGAGGAUGCAAGCAGGUUCGCCUGUCUUCAUCUUCGAGAAGUGAAGUAAAUCUUAUCAUUUAGAGGAAGUAGAAGUCGUAACA
RNAcentral lists this ribosomal RNA (329 nucleotides) under uncultured eukaryote. RNAcentral describes it as "partial 18S ribosomal RNA". It matches the Rfam family "Eukaryotic small subunit ribosomal RNA", at positions 1470 to 1796 of the family's 1831-position model. The record is from RNAcentral.